This is a long non-coding RNA of Tetranychus urticae (two-spotted spider mite), 3197 nucleotides long. RefSeq lists it as uncharacterized. NCBI's taxonomy places the organism in Eukaryota, Metazoa, Arthropoda, Arachnida, Trombidiformes, Tetranychidae. The record is from RefSeq and is a predicted model, not a curated record.
AUUAUUAGGGCUCCGAAAGAUCUAUUAUAUUAUAUUUAUUAUUUUUAUUAUUAUUGUUAUUAACAUUAUCAUCUUCAUCAUUUGCUUUAAGAAUUAAGACCAAAAAGGCGACAAAAUUCAGCUGAUUGGAAAGCAAAAGAUUUGUAUCCUGAUGAGAAAAUGGAUCGAGCCAGUAUCUCACACAAGUUUCAUUCACCAAUCUGUAAACAUUAGCUUCAUAUCUUCAAACUUCAUUUAACCAAGAGACUAAGCAAUUGACUUUACCAUUGACUUAGACUGGACAUACGCACUUUUAAAAAUGGCUAAUCUAAUGAUAAUCAUUGAGGAUCAAACAUACGAUCAGGACAAUUGGGAAGUUACAUAAAUAAGUAAAAAAUGGUUACAUAACAGCGAUAACACGAAAAAAAGGACAACUUCAACAGCAUGGUCAUUGUAUUUGGUGCUAAAGUAGUAAAAAGUGAAACAAUAAAAUCAAAUGUUUUCCAAAAGGGUAAAAAAAUCCGAGAAAAGGAGAGACAACAUUUGACCUGAAAAUGACCUGAUCUUACUGUACUGAUAACGGGCUCAACUGGGAUACACGAGAAGAAAAAAAUGUGAACAAAUGCUGUUUGAUAAGAAGAUAUAGCCUUUUCCAGGAUUUGGGUCAACUAUAUUUAUUUGGAUAUUGAAAAAAAAAAUCGAGAGAGUGAAAGGCAUCUUCACCAGUAUACAAUAACGUCAACAACAGUAAUAUGUUAAAAAAAGAUAUAAAGACUUUGAUCUAGACCCAGGGAAAGCUGAAGAUAAAGAUGACACAAGAAAAGGCAAAAGAUGGCCAGCUAACCGAACUAGAGAAAAAAAUUUCUAAAGUAAAAGAAGUUCAGGGAUUCAUAUUAAAACCUUGGCCCCCCUCCUUGUUAUAUUGUGUUGGGUGUUAAAGAUGAUAAAGAACAUGAGACCACAGUGAUAACCACCCCCAAGAAGAAGCCCCUUGACAUUACCUUGCCUUUUGGAAGAAGCUUGCAGUCCAAAGUAGAGAAAAAUAUUACUCACUUUGCUUCAAUGAAGCCUCAUCAUCAUUAUCAUCACCAUCAUCAUCUUUAAUAGUAACUCAAACGUCUUACGUCUUACGUCUUUCUUAAAAUAUUUUCCCACGGCCUCUUUGCCUCCUCCAUCUAUAGCUUGUUUCAUCCAUUCUUUUUCCAUUUCUCUCUCUCUCUCUCUCUCUCUCUCUCUCUCUCUCUCUCUCUCUCUCUCUCACUUUUCACGCGUAACAUUUUCUUAUGAUUUAAUAUCAUCUUAACUACUACAAUUACUAUUACUAUUUGCCACCAACAUACACACACAUGGAGAAAGAGAGACAAAGUUAAAAGUCUUACCUUGGCCCAGUCAAAAAUCUCUGCCCAGGCCCUUAAAAGAUCAUUUUACAAGAUUCAAACUUGUUGUUAUAACAAAAAAAGUUACAACUGGUUCAAAUUUAAUCAUAUCAUGGUUCAAUUUAAAUGGGCAAAUCUGAUGAAUCUUGAACGUUUCCAUUCUAAUUUAAUUACAGCUACAGCUAUUGUUGAAAGCAAUUAAAGAUGUCGUAUUAAAUUUUAUAAGAAGCGCUGGAUUGAUGAAAAUUGUUUGGACAAUUGAGCAAAAUGUUGAUCCAAUAUAUUUGGAAAGAGGGAAAAUACCUGGCUAUUUGCAGCUCUAAUUAACUUAAUCAUUCAAGACUCAAUACACUGAAUAAUUAUCCAACAAGUAAAAUCAAUUUUCAUGAGCAAUUGGAUUAAUUUGCUAAAUUCAAACUAUUUUAUAAGCUGUUGAAGCUGUUUUUUUAAACUCUCAAAAUGACAACCUUGUUGGACUAAAAAAGCAAUGGCAUAUAACAAUCAAGUAAACAAAUCAAAUUAAGCAAAUAACAUAAACACGUGAUGGUCAAAUAGUGAAAAUCAAAGGGGAAUUAACUGUUCUGACAGUUAAUGGAGAUUAGUCUGGAAACUCGGCAUUCAGGAUCAACAUAAACUUGGAUUGAUGAUAACAAUUUGAUUAUGGAAACAAAUUUAGAUCUUGACAAAAAAAGCAACUUCGAUAAAGCCAGAGAUUGAUUGAGCCCAAGUGAGCAAUUGAAAUUGCUGUCGAGAAACAAAUAUUCAAAGUAACAUUCAACCUUUCCAUUGGCUCAUUUUUUGGCAAAAGGAGGAGUUUAAAUGGUUCCUUGGGCCAAUUGUAAGCUACAAUUUGGGAGGAUUAUAAUGAUAAUAAUAAUAAUAAUCACCAUCAUCAUCAUAAUGAUACACUUGAAAUGAUAAUCAUUUUGAAGGUUCAACAUGAAACAGUGAAGAUAACCUCUUUUGUCUGGCGAUUUGCUUGAAGAGCUUUUUUGUUUUUCAAUCGUUUUAUAAUCAUUGCAAUGAUAAACAAACUGGAGUUACUAAUAGUGAUCAUGUUUGAAGUCAAUUUGAGUUUUUAAUUUAAUUGUCUGAAAUGUUGAACAAUAAGUGAAUUUAUCAAUCUUGGGUAAUUUGAAACUAGCUUCAAAAAAAUGGACUUGUCAAACUGGUUGCUGUUAAUUUUCAACUAAUCCAUCUUAUUCCUGAUUUUUAAUAAUUUUUUGAAAACUUUCAACUUAAAUCACAAUCAAAACCACAAAAUGAUUCAAAAUUUCAAGGUUAUCUUCUGCUUCCUCUGUUUUUCCUCCUCUUCCUCUUGCACUUUAUAACAUUCAAUUUUACUUUUUAACUGUAACUUUACAGCUUUUUUUGCAUUCAAUAUUUUGUCUUGAACAAUGUAAUAUUAUCACCAUUGAAUUGUUAACAAAAAUCAAAUUUGAAUGUCAAAACAGGCUUUUCAAAGAUUGUUAUGAAAUUGAUUGAUUUAAACCAUCGAUAAUGUAACUUUUAAAUUGAAAGAAUCAAGGAAUUGCCUUUCCUAUCGUUAUUUUUGUUUAUUUGUACCUUUGUUGACUUUUUUGAUGGGAAACAACUUGAUUAGUCCAACGGGAAUAUGGUUAAUCAACUUAUUGUUAAUAUUCUUUCAAUAGCACUGUUAUUACCUUGAUAUUGAGUAACCAAGCUUUUAACCAACUGGACUAAUCAAUCAAUUCAAACACAAAUUUUGAUCAACUUUCUCAUAUUCACUGUGAACCAUUCAUUCAAUGAAAGUUUUGUUUAACUCAUUUCUUCAACCAAUAUUCAUCCAAUUUCAAACUAAUUACAUUUUGUGAUUUUAAA